This 497-nucleotide ribosomal RNA is filed under the name uncultured bacterium. RNAcentral describes it as "partial 16S ribosomal RNA". It matches the Rfam family "Bacterial small subunit ribosomal RNA", at positions 28 to 507 of the family's 1533-position model. The record is from RNAcentral.
GAUGAACGCUGGCGGCGUGCCUAACACAUGCAAGUCGAGCGAACGGACGAGAAGCUUGCUCUUCCGAUGUUAGCGGCGGACGGGUGAGUAACACGUGGACAACCUACCUAUAAGACUGGGAUAAUUUCGGGAAAUCGGAGCUAAUACCGGAUAAUAUUUUGAACCGCAUUGUUCAAAAGUGAAAGUCGGUCUUGCUGACACUAAUAGACUGAUACGCGCUGCAUUAGCUAGUUGGUAAGGUAACGGCUUACCAAGGCAACGAUGCAUACCCGACCUGAGCGGGUGGUCGCACACACGGGAACUGAGGCACGGUCCCGACUCCUACGGGAAGACGCAGUAGAGAAUCUUCCGCAAUGGGCGAGAGCCUAACAGUGCAACACCGCGUGAGUGAUGAAGGACUUCGGAUCGUAAAACUCUGUUAUUAGGAAAGAACAAAUGUGUAAGUAACUGUGCACAUCUUGACGGUACCGAGUCAGAAAGCCACGGCUAACUACGUG